RNAcentral lists this long non-coding RNA (1504 nucleotides) under Hordeum vulgare. RNAcentral's name for it is "long non-coding RNA (HVUL_LNC017944)". The record is from RNAcentral. Lineage: Eukaryota; Viridiplantae; Streptophyta; Magnoliopsida; Poales; Poaceae.
CCUUCAAACUCAACUCAUCUCAGUUUCAACGGUUGGUCAGCAAGAUGUAGGGGAGUCGACUAAUGUGGUGUCUCCUAGAGAAAAGCGCAGGAAGAAUUAGCAACAGGGUGUAUCAGCAUUAUCAUCGGUCAACCACCGGUGUCCAUUUUAGACUGCGGAAUCUAGUGGCUAGUUGGUGGUAUCCAUAUUCGGUACAAUGCUUUGAUUACAAUGUUCAGUGGUGGUUUUGUAUAGUGCUAGCCUGCUGGUAUUCUUCCUUUUAAUACAUAAUUAUAGAAAUUAUUAUGGAAUUGAGAAAGUGACGCUUUUAUCUUAUAGGCCAUGAGUUCUUUGACCAUUGAUCAAUUAUUAGAAGGAUUAGGCGUGUGUUGCUGCACAGUUGGUGUUCUUGUGUUUUUACAAAAUAAAUUAGCCUAUUUGUUUUUAAAAUAUAGGUGUAUCAGAUUUUUAAAAAGUAAAAGCUCUUCAAGUUUGACCAAAUUUGUAGAGAACUAUAUUAAUAUUCAUAAUAUGAAGUUGUGAUCAUUAAAUUCAUCAUGAAAUAAAUUUUCAUAUUUUAUUUAUUUUGUAUUAUGGAUGUUGAUAUUUUUUACUCCGAACUUAGUCAAAGUUAAAUAUAUUUGACUUUUUAAGAAAAAAAUACACCUUAUAUCUUGGAACCGAUGGAGAAUUUGAUUUGGCUAGUGUGAGAGGCUAUGGCCUAUGUUUUUAUUUUAUUUAUAAAGCGGUGUUUUGAUGGGCCUUUUGUGAUGUGAUUCUGCGUUAUGUGCUAAUCAACAGAUAUCUACUUCGGAAAAAAAAAUAAGUCACUGUCUACAUGUACUAUAUUGGUGUUACAAUACUAUAUUUCUAGGUGGCAAGGGGUGCACGGAAUUGAUGUAUUAUUAUAAGUCAGUUGUUACCGAUUAAUUUUAAAAACCGUUGACCAAAUCGAAAUCAUGAAUCCAAUCCCAAAUUGAAUACCUCAAUCGAAUCAAAAAACUUCAAAAUUAAGGUGCAUAGUGAAUUAAAAUAAUUGAAUAGAAGAGCUUUUUGAGAAAUUGUUGACCCGAUCAAAAUUAAUUAAAGACCUCAAGUGAAUGUGGGCUCUUCAAUCCUACAGAGAAUAGUGAUAUAGUAUACUUUUCAUAUGUUGCGCAUUUACAUGUUUUGCUUCAUGCACGGACGGCCAUUAAUCACUGUUUUGUUUUGCGCAGUUUGAUUUUAUUUUUUAAAGACAAAAUUAUGACACGGAUGACCAAAGACCAAAGGAAUUCAGGUUCACCUAUAGCUCAACUGAAGAUGUUGUAUGUUUCAUCAGGGACAGCUGAAGAUGAGAUAUUGGAGGAAACCAAAUCUUGUGCCACUAUAGGUGAAGAUUUGGUUCCAUCCAAAUCUCACAUUCAGCUUGCAAGGUUAGGCUCUUGAGACAGGUUUAGGUGUCCAUCCAACUAGCGCUUUGUUGUAGCUAACACUCAGUGUCUGACAUAUGAACAUAAGAUAUUGGAGGAAACCAAAUCUUGNN